GAUGAACGCUGGCGGCGUGCCUAAUACAUGCAAGUCGAGCGAACAGAUAAUGCUCUUGCUGCUUUGACGUUAGCGGCGCACGUGUGAGUAACACGUGUGUAACCUACCUAUAAGACUGGUAUCACUCCGGGAAACCGGGGCUAAUGCCGUAUAACAUUUAGAACCGCAUGGUUCUAAAGUGAAAUAUGGUUGUUCUAUCACGUAUCGAUGGACCCGCGCCGUAUUAGCUGGUUGUUAAGGUCACGGCUUACCAAGGCAACGAUACGUAGCCGAAGUGAGAGACGGAUAGGCCACACUAGAGCGGAGACACGGUCAAGACUACUAAGGGACGCAGCAGUCGGGAACGUUCAGCAACAGGCGAAAGCAUGACGGAGUAACGCCAAGUGAGUGAUGACGGUCCUCGGAUCGGAAAAACCUGCUAUGAGGGAAAAACAAAUGUGUACGUAAACGUGCACGUAGUGACGGUAAAUAAUCAGAAAGCAACGGCUAACUACGUG
Molecule: ribosomal RNA, 497 nt
Filed under: uncultured bacterium
Lineage: Bacteria
Description: partial 16S ribosomal RNA
Rfam family: Bacterial small subunit ribosomal RNA
Source: RNAcentral